AUCAAUAAUACUUUUUUUUUUUUUUUUUUUCUUUUUUUUUGUAGGACAUUUAUGAUUUAUCAAAAAAAGAAUAAUCAACCAAAAUCUAAUUGUUUAAUUUAUUCCGAUGAUAUAGAGAAAUUAGUGAAUACAAAUUUUUAUAAUAGGACUGUGGAUAUUCUUUUUUGCAGCAGCUUUAAAGGCAUAGAUAUCCUAAAAUUUAUCCCUAUGGGAAAAAAAACGUUUGAUGUUGAAAUAACCACAGAUAGAUUGUAUUAUGGUGCAGAGAAUGUUAAUUAUACUAUUGUUAUGAAAUUUAAAGAUAUGCUAAAGGAUUUGCCUCCAAGUUAUAUAUAUAAAACGUUAUGAAAUGCAUGUGAUACGUAUAUAUAUAAAAUGUGCUGAACUAUAUGUGCAUAUAUAUAUAUAUAUAUAUGUGUUUGCUUUUAAGGUUAUAUUAUACAAGUAGAAAUACCAACGGAUAUGUGUAUUGAAAAUAGCUGUUUUACUAAAAAUAGAAAAAACCUAUGCUUAAAUGUUGAAGCACAAUUAUUAGAGUCAUGUUCGCUUGAACAUAAUUUAUUAAUCUUCACAAUAGACAAGAAUAAGAGUUCCCGCAUAACUAAUAAUAAUGAGUUGAAAAUAAUACUUAAAAACAUGAUCAAUCCUAUAAGAAUUACAAAAAAACGCGAAGAUUGGAAAUUUAGUAUUUUAACCUUAAACACAGAUUUUAAAAAAGAUGAAACAAAAUUGUUUGAUGAAAUAACAAAAUCCAUAGGUGGUGCCUGUACUAAUGAAUUUUUGACUAAUUUUCAUUCCAAUAUGGAGUUUAUAGAAAUUUACAGAACAAAUAAGGCUUCACCUGAAUUGUAUAAUUUUUCCGUAGAAUUAAAAGUAAUGCUUCAAAAAAAAAAAAAAAAAAAAAAAAAAAAAAUACAAACAAUAAUACAUGCACACAAACGAAUAUAUAUAUAUAUAUAUAUAUGUAUAUAUAUAUAUAUAUAUAUGAACAUGUAUACAUACUCACACACACGUACUUCUCUUAUGUCGUAGAAAAGUAGUAAAUUUAGAAUCGAGAGGGGUGGCCCCCUUGUCCUCGAACUGAAAGCAGAACAAUCAAAAUACGAACUUUUCAAUAAACGUUGCACGGUAUUUUUAUCA
Molecule: long non-coding RNA, 1140 nt
Filed under: Piliocolobus tephrosceles (Ugandan red Colobus)
Lineage: Eukaryota; Metazoa; Chordata; Mammalia; Primates; Cercopithecidae
Description: lncRNA (ENSPTEG00000008643.1)
Source: RNAcentral